RNAcentral lists this transfer RNA (73 nucleotides) under Parcubacteria group bacterium ADurb.Bin159. RNAcentral's name for it is "tRNA-Ile". It matches the Rfam family "tRNA". From Rfam's summary of the family: Transfer RNA (tRNA) molecules are approximately 80 nucleotides in length. Their secondary structure includes four short double-helical elements and three loops (D, anti-codon, and T loops). Further hydrogen bonds mediate the characteristic L-shaped molecular structure. tRNAs have two regions of fundamental functional importance: the anti-codon, which is responsible for specific mRNA codon recognition, and the 3' end, to which the tRNAs corresponding amino acid is attached (by aminoacyl-tRNA synthetases). tRNAs cope with the degeneracy of the genetic code in two manners: having more than one tRNA (with a specific anti-codon) for a particular amino acid; and 'wobble' base-pairing, i.e. permitting non-standard base-pairing at the 3rd anti-codon position. The record is from RNAcentral.
GGGCGCGUGGUUCAGUGGUAGAACGUUCCUCUGAUAAGGGAAAGGUCGAUGGUUCGAUUCCAUCCGCGCCCAC